Molecule: unclassified non-coding RNA, 360 nt
Filed under: uncultured Hyaloscyphaceae
Lineage: Eukaryota; Fungi; Ascomycota; Leotiomycetes; Helotiales
Description: sequence contains ITS2
Rfam family: 5.8S ribosomal RNA (bases 1-154)
Source: RNAcentral
AACUUUCAGCAACGGAUCUCUUGGUUCUGGCAUCGAUGAAGAACGCAGCGCAAUGCGAUAAGUAAUGUGAAUUGCAGAAUUCAGUGAAUCAUCGAAUCUUUGAACGCACAUUGCGCCCCUUGGUAUUCCGGGCGGCAUGCCUGCUCGAGCGUCAUUAUAACCAAUCCAGCCUAGCUGGGAGUUGGGCCUCGCUAUACAGCGGGCCUUACAAUCAGUGGCGGUGCUUUUAGGCUCUACGCGUAAUAAUUUUCUCGCGAUAGAGUCCUGAGGAAUACUUGUCAGCCACCCUUUAUUACUUAGGUUGACCUCGGAGCAGUUAGGGAUACCCGCUGAAUUUAAGAAUAGCAAUUAGCGGAGGCU